UCUGGCAAUGAUGACACACUUGCCCUCACUGAGAAUAUUGUUCUACCGUGAGGAUGUCACUUGUUCACGACCUGAGCCAGC
Small nucleolar RNA from Mobula hypostoma (lesser devil ray), 81 nucleotides. RefSeq annotates it as small nucleolar RNA SNORD103/SNORD85. NCBI's taxonomy places the organism in Eukaryota, Metazoa, Chordata, Chondrichthyes, Myliobatiformes, Myliobatidae. The record is from RefSeq and is a predicted model, not a curated record. The transcript has a single exon.